ACGGCGAGUGAAGCGGCAACAGCUCAAAUUUGAAAUCUGGCCCCUUUGGGGUCCGAGUUGUAAUUUGCAGAGGGUGCUUUGGCGUUGGCGGCGGUCUAAGUUCCUUGGAACAGGACAUCGCAGAGGGUGAGAAUCCCGUAUGUGGUCGCCUGCCUUCGCCGUGUAAAGCCCCUUCGACGAGUCGAGUUGUUUGGGAAUGCAGCUCUAAAUGGGAGGUAAAUUUCUUCUAAAGCUAAAUACCGGCCAGAGACCGAUAGCGCACAAGUAGAGUGAUCGAAAGAUGAAAAGCACUUUGGAAAGAGAGUCAAACAGCACGUGAAAUUGUUGAAAGGGAAGCGCUUGCAGCCAGACUUGCCUGUAGUUGCUCACCCGGGCUCCUGCCCGGGGCACUCUUCUGCAGGCAGGCCAGCAUCAGUUUGGGCGGUUGGAUAAAGGGCUCUGACACGUACUUCCCCUCGGGGUUGACAUACAGGGGAGCCGCAAUGCGACCAGCCCGGACUGAGGUCCGCGCAUCUGCUAGGAUGCUGGCGUAAUGGCUGUAAGCGGCC
RNAcentral lists this ribosomal RNA (548 nucleotides) under Periconia sp. RNAcentral's name for it is "partial large subunit ribosomal RNA". It matches the Rfam family "Eukaryotic large subunit ribosomal RNA", at positions 86 to 649 of the family's 3401-position model. Lineage: Eukaryota; Fungi; Ascomycota; Dothideomycetes; Pleosporales; Periconiaceae. The record is from RNAcentral.